UAGUCCACGCUGUAAACGUUGGGCGCUAGGUGUGGGGGGCCUCUCCGGUUCUCUGUGCCGCAGCUAACGCAUUAAGCGCCCCGCCUGGGGAGUACGGCCGCAAGGCUAAAACUCAAAGGAAUUGACGGGGGCCCGCACAAGCGGCGGAGCAUGCGGAUUAAUUCGAUGCAACGCGAAGAACCUUACCUGGGUUUGACAUCGCCGGAAAACUCGCAGAGAUGUGGGGUCCUUCGGGGCCGGUGAC
This 244-nucleotide ribosomal RNA is filed under the name uncultured bacterium. Its description in RNAcentral is "partial 16S ribosomal RNA". It matches the Rfam family "Bacterial small subunit ribosomal RNA", at positions 791 to 1035 of the family's 1533-position model. The record is from RNAcentral.